This is a long non-coding RNA of Rhopalosiphum padi (bird cherry-oat aphid), 708 nucleotides long. RefSeq lists it as uncharacterized. The transcript is spliced from 3 exons. The record is from RefSeq and is a predicted model, not a curated record. NCBI's taxonomy places the organism in Eukaryota, Metazoa, Arthropoda, Insecta, Hemiptera, Aphididae.
AUAUUAAUUAUUAAUUAAUUAAUAUUCUUUGAACGUUUAACCACAGAAUAUGUUUUAAAUAAAUACUAUGUAAAUGUGUAUUAUUUUAAAUAUAAAUUUAAGGUUUAAACCAAUUAUUUCAAUGCAUAUGUAUUUUGUGAUAGUGUUUUAAUGUUGUAUUUUGGUUAAACAAUUUGAAUUUAAUUAAAAGUAUACUUCAAUCCAAUCAGCAAUAGUAUUAUGUGUAUGACAAUUAGUUUUCAUACUUUUCCGACAACUUUUUUUGUAUAAUUUAUUGUGGCAAUUCGUAGAAUUGGUGUAAUUAAUCAAAAAUAACAGUGAAAUAUAUGACUAGCUCAAUUUGACCAGCAAUUAAUGCAAAUUCAUAUUGCUUUCUACUGGUACCUAUCUGAUGACUAUAAAUUAAUAAAUAAAAUAAAAUUGGAAUAAAAGAAUAAAAUAUACAUAUAUCUAUAUUAUAUUUUAAUCUUUUAACAAACUAAACAAUCUAUUAUGAAAUUUAUUUUAUUUUAUUUCAAAUUCCAAUUGCAUUUAAUAGUACUAACUUUUAAUUUAAAUAUCUAUAACAAUAUUGGAUGAACAAAUACAAAUUGCUGUUUUGGUUAGCCACAGCAUAAUACAGUGAAACUUCUAAUUAACGGUCACCAAAGGGACCAUAAAUAAUGACCGCUAUUUAGAGGUAGCUGUCCUAUAGAGGUGACCAUUAAC